RNAcentral lists this small RNA (561 nucleotides) under Pongo abelii (Sumatran orangutan). RNAcentral's name for it is "processed transcript". Lineage: Eukaryota; Metazoa; Chordata; Mammalia; Primates; Hominidae. The record is from RNAcentral.
CUCACUUCCCUGGAGCCGCCCACUCGCCCGUCGGUCGCUAGCUCGCUCGGUGCGCGUCGUCCCGCUCCAUGGCGCUCUUCGUGCGGCUGCUGGCCCUCGCCCUGGCUCUGGCCCUGGGCCCCGCCGCGACCCUGGCGGGUCCCGCCAAGUCGCCCUACCAGCUGGUGCUGCAGCACAGCAGGCUCCGGGGCCGCCAGCACGGCCCCAACGUGUGUGCUGUGCAGAAGGUUAUUGGCACUAAUAGGAAGUACUUCACCAACUGCAAGCAGUGGUACCAAAGGAAAAUCUGUGGCAAAUCAACAGUCAUCAGCUACGAGUGCUGCCCUGGAUAUGAAAAGGUCCCUGGGGAGAAGGGCUGUCCAGCAGAGUCAUCUUUUGGUAUCUGCGGGGGAUUGAUUCUAGGACCCAUUCUAGGAUGCCAUAUCCUCAGAUGUUCAAGUCCCUGAUAUAAAGUGCCCUACCACUCUCAAACCUUUACGAGACCCUGGGAGUCGUUGGAUCCACCACCACUCAGCUGUACACGGACCGCACGGAGAAGCUGAGGCCUGAGAUGGAGGGGCC